CCUACGGGCGGCAGCAGUAGGGAAUAUUGCUCAAUGGGGGAAACCCUGAAGCAGCAACGCCGCGUGGAGGAUGAAGGUUUUCGGAUGGUAAACUCCUUUUGUUAGAGAAGAUAAUGACGGUAUCUAACGAAAAAGCACCGGCUAACUACGUGCCAGCAGCCGCGGGAAUACGGAGGGUGCAAGGGUUACUCGGAAUCACUGGGCGUAAAGAGCGCGUAGGCGGGAUAGCAAGUCAGAUGUGAAAGCCUAUGGCUUAACCAUGGAACGGCAUUUGAAACUGGUAUUCUAGAGUAUAGGAGAGGAAAGUGGAAUUCUUUGUGUAGGGGUAAAAUCCGUAGAGAUCAGGAGGAAUACUCAUUGCGAAGGCGACCUGCUAGAACGUAACUGACGCUGAUGCGCGAAAGCGUGGGGAGCAAACAGGAUUAGAUACCCUAGUAGUC
Molecule: ribosomal RNA, 440 nt
Filed under: uncultured bacterium
Lineage: Bacteria
Description: partial 16S ribosomal RNA
Rfam family: Bacterial small subunit ribosomal RNA
Source: RNAcentral